This 252-nucleotide ribosomal RNA is filed under the name Ixodes corwini. RNAcentral's name for it is "partial 16S ribosomal RNA". The record is from RNAcentral. Lineage: Eukaryota; Metazoa; Arthropoda; Arachnida; Ixodida; Ixodidae.
CUGCUCAAUGAUUUUUUAAAUUGCUGUGGUAUUUUGACUAUACGAAGGUAUUGAAAUAAGGUUUUAAAUGAAUGCUAAGAGAAUGGUUUAACAAUUAAAUUCUUUCUUUAAAUUAAAAAUUGAAGUUAAUUUUGUUGUGAGGAAGCAACAAUGAAAAUUAGGGACAAGAAGACCCUAUGAAUUUGAUAAUAAUUAUUUAUUAAUUUUUUAAAUAAUUAUUUUUGUUGGGGCGACAAAAAAAGAAUAUGUAUC